AGUUUAUGAACUUGAUAUAAGUAUAUAUUUUGAAAAUAUAAAAUAGAGAUUAAUCCUCUAUAAACUU
RNAcentral lists this transfer RNA (67 nucleotides) under Staphylinidae sp. BMNH 1274704. RNAcentral's name for it is "tRNA-Ser". The record is from RNAcentral. Lineage: Eukaryota; Metazoa; Arthropoda; Insecta; Coleoptera; Staphylinidae.